Peromyscus californicus insignis is the source of this 1203-nucleotide long non-coding RNA. RefSeq lists it as uncharacterized. The record is from RefSeq and is a predicted model, not a curated record. Lineage: Eukaryota; Metazoa; Chordata; Mammalia; Rodentia; Cricetidae. The transcript has 2 exons.
GCUUUUCUUUGGUGGGGGAAGGGGGUGAUUAUUGUCACUGAAUUGUUUGUUUGGACUCAUUUGCUUGCUUGCUUUACUAAAAGUGACCUCAGGACACUCUGAGAUACAUUUGGAUUAUAUAUGAAAUUGUCCCUUCUCUAGACUAAGCCUUUGGUUUCUUUUCAAGGAGAUGUUUCCUGCCGGACAAGCAGAAUCAGAGACCACUCAAAGGGUUAUACAUAGAAGAGCUAUAUAAGGAAGAUGCUAGGCAACACUGGGACACACUGCACAAGCUGUGGUGCCAGCCUGUGUCAACAAAGGGAUUAUCCCAAAUGUCACAGUGAUCACUGCUCAGAGCUGAAGAUGCUUACUUCGCUUCGUGUGUCACUGCAUUGACCACUGCCCACUGCAAAAAGAAGCUUCUCUGACACCAGCUACGGCCACCUGCACAAAAACUACAAAGGGAGCUGGAGAGAUGGCUCAGAGGUUAGGAGCACUGGCUGCUCUUCCAGAGGUCCUGAGUUCAAGUCCCAGCAACCACAUGGUGGCUCACAACCAUCUGUAAUGUGAUCUGGUGCCCUCUUUUGACCUGCAGGCAUAACACCAGCAGGACACUGUAUGCAUAAUAAAUAAAUAAAUAAAAAGUCUUAAAAAAAAAACUACAAAAGAUCAAGCCAGACAAAAUUCUCAUGAAGAUGGAGAAGAUUAUCCAUAUGCCAUGCCCCUAACUAAGGAGCUAUUGGAAGUUUAUAACAUAUAGGGGAGAGAGAAUCUUUUUCCCUUGAGUGUGUGGUCAUGGGUAGUUUUCCAGUGUUCUAGUGGCUGGCCCCAUACCUAUAUACAUAUGAUCAGGACUAAUUAGACUUAGUGAAUUAUUAAAGAAGAAAAAGAAGAGGAGGAGGAGAAGGUUGUAAAGGAAGAAAGGAAAUGAACUUAAGUGGGCAAGUGUAGUGGGUAGCCAUUCCAGCUUUGAUCUGGAAGUUCCAACCCCCAUUGAGGCUUCGACAACUGUCACGCCUACAAGGCGGGGCCAAGGGUGGACCCUGGAGACCCGAGAGCUGGAUGGGCGAGCGCUCUCUCUGUUCCUGGACCCUGGACGGUGGAGGUUGACCGAGCAGAGCUCCAGAGAACACUGCUGGACUGCGAUACACCUUCCCCAGACCCCGCAACCUACCUAUCCCUUCAUUUGUAAGUUACCCACUAAAUAAAUCUUCCUUUUAACUA